ACAAAGAAAGAAAAACACGAACCAGAACGCAGAGCAGGGAUGUGCUAACAAGACGUUUAUGACAGCUAGGAUCCAAGGACACUCAUCAAAGCAAUCACAGAAGGCCACAUUCUUCUCCUCAGUGGUGACCUUUAGCAUCAGCCUUCUUUUUAGACUUUGCUUUAGCCUACAGAGAAGUAGAAAACAAUGUUAGCUAUGCAUCUUGAGCACAAAAGAACAACCGGCAUUAGCUUGUCUUCAUCAUGAUAAACAAAAAGGAAAAGAUCAAAAACAUUUAUCAUGAUCAUGAUCAGCACAUACAAUGGGAUGGACAAUGUUUAAGUAGAGCUAUGGAUGUUUUGGUUAGAUGAGGUGACUCGAUUAGUAUUAGUGAUGCGAAAGGAGAUAGAGGAAAAACUAGUCAGGCUCUACUAAAACAAUAAAAUCAUAUUUGAAUGCUUGUGAUUUUAGUACUGUGAAGAGCUCAGGAUGGAUGCAUAGAGCUGCACCCAAAUGCUGUUGAUGUCAUUGUUGAUAAUUAGGAACACAUCAUUCAUUCAUUACUACCAAGGAUUAAUUUCAGGAAAAUGGACAUUUUCAUGAUCCUUCCUGAUCAAACAAAGAAAAAUAAAGAAGACACUGUUGCACACUUUAAAUGCCAUCUUUUCCCAGUUACCCACAUUCCCCUAAAUAGAGCUUGAGGAUAUCAUCACUUGCUCAAAUCACUUCUGACACAGAGACAUGAGCCAUAUGCAAUGGACAUGUAGAUAGAGGCCUAGGUAAGCUAGUCAACCACAGAUGUUACACAACAAGCACAAUUAAUCAGGGUAAAGUGCUCCAUAUAAGUUUGCUCAUCAGGCAUCAAACCAGACAAGACACAAGAAACAAUUGAAAGGGAGAUAUAGAGAAGAAAAUUCAAAGAAUGGAAGAUAUAAACAGAAUCUAUCACAAUUCAAUGAUUUACUAUUACAAAUAAGCAGAGUUCGCGAUUCCUCUGUAGCACUCAACCAGCCAUGCUAAUCCAUUACAAGUUUAUUCUUAAACCCUAAACCUGAUUGGAUACUCCAAGUGCGUGUAAAUGAAAAAAUAUAUAUCAUGGUUUAAGAAUCAGCAGGUCAUCAAUUAACAAAGCAAUGGCACAAACAACUUUUGAUACUUAAACCGUCAGAAUUAGCACUAUGACAAAUGACAUGUAGAUGAACAUGGAACUCGAAUAUCAUUGUAAUCCGAUAUUUGCAUCAGGACUUUACGAAAGACAUCAUCGAUUAUAAUUUCUAGAUUCAAGCUAAAUCAGGCCCGCCCAUGAAAAACCCAUCCUGGACCCUAAAUCGAGAGAGAAGAAGAAUCGGAGAUGACAGUGUGCACAUGCAGAAAAGCGGAUCGGCCGGAUAAAACAACAUAACCCAAGGAAGCGUAAGGAUCUGAUACCACAAACAAUCAAUGAUCAGCACCAUAUGUAGUCACGACAACAGCGCAUGGAAAUGAGAGAUAAAUGCACAACCAAAAGGGGCAAAUAUCGGAAGAAAGAGAGAGAACUAUAGGACAAAUACCCGGAGAUAGGAAAGCUUGAUGCUUCCGUAGACAGUCCCGAAGGUAAAAGCCGAGGCGCGAGCCACCUAUCAAAAUCCGAACAGGCGAUAAGAGGAAUCGAAAAUCCAUCGAUAGAUAUAGAGAGAGAAGGGAGGACGUACGAAGGCGAGGGUGCUGACGCCGGAGUAAGGGCCUGGAAUCGCCAUAACGAGCUCAGAGAGACACGGCAGAGAGAGCCGGGGUGCCAAAGAGGGAAGACUGAGGGAGAGGAAGAGAUCGAGAUAGGGAGAGGAAGA
This 1805-nucleotide long non-coding RNA is filed under the name Musa acuminata (dwarf banana). RNAcentral's name for it is "long non-coding RNA (MACU_LNC004712)". Lineage: Eukaryota; Viridiplantae; Streptophyta; Magnoliopsida; Zingiberales; Musaceae. The record is from RNAcentral.